CCUACGGGGGGCAGCAGUGGGGGAUAUUGCACAAUGGGGGGAACCCUGAUGCAGCCACGCCGCGUGGGUGAAGGAGUGCUUCGGCAUGUAAAGCCCUAUCGGCAGGGAAGAAGCAAGACGGUACCUGACUAAGAAGCCCCGGCUAACUACGUGCCAGCAGCCGCGGUAAUAAGUAGGGGGCGAGCGUUAUCCGGAUUCACUGGGUGUAAAGGGAGCGUAGACGGCCAUGCAAGCCAGGGGUGAAAACCCGGGGCCCAACCCCGGGUCGGCCCUUGGAACUGCAUGGCGGGAGUACGGGCGGGGUAGGCGGAAUUAGUGGAGUAGCGGGGAAAUGCGUAGAUAUAA
This 345-nucleotide ribosomal RNA is filed under the name uncultured bacterium. Its description in RNAcentral is "partial 16S ribosomal RNA". It matches the Rfam family "Bacterial small subunit ribosomal RNA", at positions 338 to 699 of the family's 1533-position model. The record is from RNAcentral.